Molecule: long non-coding RNA, 2750 nt
Filed under: Rattus norvegicus (Norway rat)
Lineage: Eukaryota; Metazoa; Chordata; Mammalia; Rodentia; Muridae
Description: long non-coding RNA NONRATT031761
Source: RNAcentral
AUGCUGCAGAUUAAACUCCCCAACUGCAUCCUUUUGAAGGACACAUUCAAACCACAGCAGCCACUCAAGCAAGAAAGAAAGAGGAUAGGGGUGGGGCGGGGGCGAGGAGAAGCAGCAAGAAGAGAUCAUUGUCUGGGAGUAGAACAGUCUCGGGAAGAAGUAGAUGUGGGGACUCAGAUGAGACCCCCGGGUCUCUGUCAUUCCCAGGACUCUACUGUUCUGCUUCCCUUUCAGAGUGCAGUUCUCUUGCUCAACAAGACGAGAGGGGAUUUGAUGCCCGCAUGCCACUUUUAUCCCAUCCCACUAAUGGCCCACAUGUGCUUCCAGGGCAUAUGCGUCCUGUCUCUACAACAGGAAGAUCAGAAGGAAGAGAGAAAAAUGAGGCCAACCAAAGCACCCUAUGUCCAACGGUGCAAGAGGACUAAGGAGGUUGGAGGUGAAGUCUGAGGCAUCAUUUCCUAUUACAGCUGUUUAAGAUGCCCAUCAACACAAUGAACAGAGCAGGGGUGGUGGACAGAGUCUCACAGUUUACCCAUGAGGCCACAUCCCUUACAAAACUCUGGUCACAGUAAUCAGGGUGAGGCCGGACACGAUAGGAUGUUCUGGAGCCAGGAAGAUUUAGGGCUCUCUGAAAAGACUCAUCACCCCCACCACCACACCCCUGAGAGGGGCAGCAUGCAGAGGACCAAGAAGGAAAUCCCACAAGAGGAGUGGACGCUGGAUCCUGGCUUUGGGGAGGAGCAAGAGGUUUUUAGUGCACGUCAUAGAAUUGGCCCAGCAGAGAGCAGGGUAACACUAGGACUUGAGCUGGUAGCAGGUCCAAAGGAAAAGCCCCGUGGCUGAUGACUUCUUCCCAGACUUUCUUAGCACCCAGCAAAGAUAGGAAAUGGCUGAUAGACUUCCCAGACUAAAUUCCAACCAAUAAGGAGCUGAGAUGAUCGCAGGAGAAGUGGGAAGGGAACAGUGCUAAAGAGGAGCUUCACGGGAAGAGAGGACGAACGGUGUUCAUUGUCAGUUUCUGAUAACAGAGGAAGAUAACGGCUGAACAAGACCAAAGAUGGAUGCCUGAGAGUUUCGAAGGUUGGGUGUGAUUUAAUGGCUAUGGGAGCCUAGAAAGGGCCAGCAUGCCCUUUAAAAUAUAGUUGUGGUCACAUACACUCCAGGAACAAAAAGAUGCUGGUGUCUGAAGUGUAGCUUCAGUGCCAUUCUCAUGACAUCUGCCUCAGUUUCUGUUCAUAGUAGAACUACAUUUUCUAAAAUUAAUUUGUACCUUCCUGUUAUCUCCAUAAAUGUGUGUUCACAACCAGUGAUAGGAGAUAGAUAAAUAGAUAGAUAGAUAGAUAGAUAGAUAGAUAGAUAGAUAGAUGAUAGAGUAGAGAUAAAGAUAGAUGAUAGAGAUAGAGGAUAGAUAGAAAGAAAGAAAGAUAAUAGGGAGAUAGAUUAGAGAUAGAUGACAGAUGAUAUAGACAGAUUAUAGAUGAUACAGAGAUAGAUUAGAAAUGGAGACAGAUGAUAGAAGAUAGAGAUAGGUAGAUAGAUGAUAAAUAGACACAGAUAGAUGGGUAGAAAGCCUCCAACGACUAGCGUCCUCAUUUCUCUCACCUCUUCCUCUGCUCCCGUCAGAGAAUUCAGCCAGCCACUAAGCUUUGCGUCAUCCUUGGGUUACCGCUCUAUAUUUAGAACACCAUGUUAAAAACUUGUUUGUUAGCCGAAAUUCAAAUCAUUUGGGCACCUGCUUUUUGUUUUGGUUUUCGCUUCUGUGCACGAACUACAUCUGAAACUGUACCCCUCUCACUCCCACCCUUCCUCUGGGAGGGGAGACAGUGGCAAAGACUCUCAGCAGGGGAGGCAGCCAGGGACCCUCUGAAUCUGUGGGUGCUGCGUCUCCAAUCAACCACAGUUGAAAAUAAUUUUCUUAAAUUACAUCUGCACCGACCGUGUGCAGACUUUUUUUCCCCCUCGUCAUUAUCCCCAAAACAAUGCAGUAGAGCAGCUGUUAUGCAGUGGGUUGUGACCAGCAUUUUAAAAGAUCAGAUGGGCUAGAACAGAAGUAUUAGGAUGCAUUAUACAUACGGACACAUAUUGUUUCACAACAUUUUACAUAUCAUUGGCCCUGUAUUCAGUUCUAAAAGGAAGCUGGAGAGGAUUUAAAGUACUCAGGAAGAUGCACAUCGGUUACAUACAAAUAACACGCCUUAGACAAUAAGGGUCUUUAGCAUCCUCGGACUGGGACACCAUGUUGGAUCCUGGAACUAGUCUCCCACAACAGCGAGGGACAACUGGAACUCCAGACCUGGGGAGUUCCCAAGUGGCAAGAAGGGGACAGCUAUUGUUCCCACCCCCAGGAGUUUCUCUCCUGUUCUAGUCCACCCACUCACUGAUGGAAGGCUCCCAGAGCUGUUUUAGUUGUAUCACUUAAGAGCUUUGAGGAGACAGCGCCUUUGCCUUUGCUGAGCUCUCAGUGAAGAAAUCCUGCCCCCGACAGCUUCUCUUCCUGACCUAAUGACUCUGCUGUUGUAAACCCUCAGGAUUCCCAGGUCAAGCUUCUUUCCUGUCAGUCAGUGGAUGCCACACUAGACUUCCUCCCACAGUUCCCUUCUGGCUUUUCUCUGAGCCCUUCAGGAGGCUGUUGUAGCUUCCCUUUGGGCACACUCCAAGUUGUUGUGGCCUCCCAGAAGUGAACAGUGUACCUCUAAAUCCAACACCAGGCAGGACACCUGAAGGAAAGCCUCUAGUCUCCAGUGCAGGUC